AAGCAAGUCUCCAGUGUGCUCAGGUUUGCAGUGACCCUGUGCAUUGCUACAGUGCUUGUCAGAGAAGUUCUGAAAUGGUCUGAGGCCUUUCUCUACCCUCUCCAGAACAAGGGUACAGAAAUUUCAGGCAAUU
Molecule: small nucleolar RNA, 133 nt
Organism: Jaculus jaculus (lesser Egyptian jerboa)
Lineage: Eukaryota; Metazoa; Chordata; Mammalia; Rodentia; Dipodidae
Source: Ensembl